GUGCCAGCCGCCGCGGUAAUACGUAGGGUCCAAGCGUUGUCCGGAUUUAUUGGGCGUAAAGAGCUCGUAGGCGGCUCAGUAAGUCGGAUGUGAAAACUCGGGGCUCAACCCCGAGACGCCAUCCGAUACUGCUGUGGCUUGAGUCUGGUAGGGGAACACGGAAUUCCUGGUGUAGCGGUGAAAUGCGCAGAUAUCAGGAGGAACACCGAUGGCGAAGGCAGUGUUCUGGGCCAGUACUGACGCUGAGGAGCGAAAGCGUGGGUAGCAAACAGGAUUAGAAACCCCGGUAGUCC
RNAcentral lists this ribosomal RNA (293 nucleotides) under uncultured bacterium. RNAcentral's name for it is "partial 16S ribosomal RNA". It matches the Rfam family "Bacterial small subunit ribosomal RNA", at positions 505 to 796 of the family's 1533-position model. The record is from RNAcentral.